GUGUCAGCAGCCGCGGUAAUACGUAGGGGGCUAGCGUUGUCCGGAUUUAUUGGGCGUAAAGAGCGUGUAGGCGGCCAGGUAGGUCCGCUGUGAAAGUCCGAGGCUCAACCUCGGAAUGUCGGCGGAAACCCUCUGGCUAGAGUCCGGAAGAGGAGAGUGGAAUUCCCGGUGUAGCGGUGAAAUGCGCAGAUAUCGGGAAGAACACCCGUGGCGAAGGCGGCUCUCUGGAACGGUACUGACGCUGAGACGCGAAAGCGUGGGGAGCGAACAGGAUUAGAAACCCCUGUAGUCC
RNAcentral lists this ribosomal RNA (292 nucleotides) under uncultured bacterium. Its description in RNAcentral is "partial 16S ribosomal RNA". It matches the Rfam family "Bacterial small subunit ribosomal RNA", at positions 505 to 796 of the family's 1533-position model. The record is from RNAcentral.